UUUUUGAAGUUAAUAAAUUCUCAAGAUGAGCAUACACGUACCUGCUGCGUAUUGGUCCACAUUUUCCAACGAUGAUUUCGUUAUAUCAUCAGAGGACGAAGACAACCGUGACACUUGCAUCAUUUGCAUUAUAUCUGCUCUGUGCCAACUGAGUUUCAAUAUGGCACAACACUGAACAUAAAGGCAGCACAUUAUUCACUCCCAUAGCAUUCACAUAUAAGGUACUUUAGAUAAGCAUAAUAGGGACAUUGCGUUUGUUGAAAAGCUUGGUUUCACAUGAAUGGUUUAAAAAGUAGCAGUUAGGUAGGACAACACAUUAAUCUGCUGUAAAUGGUUUGGAAUAAUUGUGCUACAAACUGUGUCAUAAAUAUUAAAAAAGUUCCUAUUUCAAUGUACUUUUAUGCUUUGAAAAACAGGCAGUAUGAUGUAAUUCACUCAUUUACACCAUGUCAUGACCUGAACAUUUCAGUAAGGAAAGUCAACAGAUCUUUUGCUCGUCACUGAGAUAUUAUGAGUUAUGUUUAGCUAUGAGGAAUAUAUGUGUGGAAUCCCAGUGGUCCGGAUAAGAAGUGUUUCUUCCACAGUUCUUCAGGGCAUAUUUAAAAAUGUUAUGUUCAAAAAAGCCGCAAACUCUGCAAAAUUUUACAUGAAAUCUCUGGUAAUAUUGAGAGAGUUCAUGUCUUAACAUUUGUUAGGCUGUUAAACGCUUCUGGGCAGGGAGAGACGCUGUGUGUAAUGAUUUUAAUAAAAUGAAAAAACAGCCAGUGAAGGACAUAGGGAUAUAUGAAAUGUACUCCUCAGCCUGAAGUGUCCCCACUUUUCGCGUGGUGUCGACUGAUAAAACGCUUCAGGAGGGUGAUCACGUGUGCUAGCAAGACAGAGGUCCUGGAUUUGUGCCUUGGUGUCAAUUGAAUCAGGAGGAAGUGGUACUGGCUACGCAAGCAACGUGACAUCCUUUACACCAGCAUCACAGCCUUUAAAGCUGCUAUAUGUAACUUUUUGGGCGACCCAAACAAAUUCACAUAGAAAUGGAAGUUAUAGAUCUGCCAGUCUCAUUGAAAGCAAGUCUAAGAAGUGGUAGAUCUGUUCAAUGUGUGCACUAUUUCUAUGCUUCCCAGUCUUAACCUAUUUAAUCCCAUCAGUCACAAUAGUGACCGUACAAAACGUUUUCAGUUAUAAGGCUCCAUUUUCUUUACUGAAUGAUGUAUCAAUACGUUUCCAGCAAAUAUUUAAUUAAUAAAGGGUUUCAAUGAAAACGUGCAGUGUCACAUGUUUGGUGUAAAUUGUCACAUGACCAGAGCUGUUUACUUCCUGGUUGCACCAUGAGAAGAGGAUGGCUGCAUCAAAGCUCCCAAACAAAAGUUUCACUUUGAGUCAAGUUCUGGAUAUGUUGGAUCUAGGCAACCGCCCAGACAAGGCAUGCAACAUUGCAGUUAUUCCUCAAAAUGAGAAAUAUGCUGUCCUCAGUGAUUGUGAUAGCAAUGGGUCAGACAUGGACUAUGAGGGGGAGACAGGCCAUUAGCCAGCUAGACUGUUGAAUGCAUAUGCUGAACCUAUGGAAACAGAUCAUGACAGGAACAACGUUAUCAGUUAUACCCCUUACCACCCCCCUCCAUUGUUGAUAAUGAAGAGCCAAGGUCCUCUAUCCGCCAGAGGGUCCAGUCAGAAGAGCCAAGGGCAAAGCUGCAGGUGGUCAAAAAUAAAGAUCAAGUGUUCAAACACUCGAAGAGGCCUGACACCAUUGUGAUUCCAAAACACAUAGUAUACAGCCCAAAUAUACAAAAGUUUGUCACGAAACCACUGCGCCACGGAAGGAGAUCUCUAAUGGCUGCUACUGUUGAAGAUCAGGCAAGAUAUGACAAAGCUUCUUACUGGCCAAUCAACAGAAUGCAACGGUUCCAGAGAUGUCAUCAUUGUGACAAACGCACUACCUAUGCAUGUGAGAAAUGCAAAGUGCCACUGCACAUUAAGUUCUUCAAGAUAUACCAUGGACAGUAGAAAAGGAGAUAAGAGUGAAUGAAAAAGGACUGAAAAAGCCAAUAAAAGAAAAAUAGAAAAGUUAAUAAAGGGUGAGGAGAAGCAGUACAACAGACUCUAGGAAGAAAAGUCAACGAAAAAGGGAAAAAGACAAUCAAAAUGGCUGAAAUGUUUUUGGAAAAGAAGGUCAAUUGAUUCAAGACACUGUAUGACCAUAGGUCUGACUGAUCACAGUUCAAAAUAUUGAUGAACAAACUAAUCGUGCACUUAGUUCUGAAGCCUACCUCUAUGAUAUAUAUAUAUAUAUAUAUAUAUAUAUAUAUGUGUAUAUGUGUGUAUGCAUGUACUGUAUGUGUAUAUAUAUAUAUUAUAUAUUUUUUUCACUGCAGGCCUCUACUUGAAUGCAUAUUCAAAAGUAAAAAAUAAAAUGUAACACAAUAAAAUAACAAUAGCGAGGCUA
Molecule: long non-coding RNA, 2437 nt
Organism: Salmo salar (Atlantic salmon)
Lineage: Eukaryota; Metazoa; Chordata; Actinopteri; Salmoniformes; Salmonidae
Source: RefSeq, a predicted model, not a curated record